RNAcentral lists this ribosomal RNA (499 nucleotides) under uncultured bacterium. RNAcentral describes it as "bacterial SSU rRNA". It matches the Rfam family "Bacterial small subunit ribosomal RNA", at positions 30 to 523 of the family's 1533-position model. The record is from RNAcentral.
AUUGAACGCUGGCGGCAUGCCUUACACAUGCAAGUCGAACGGUAACAGGUCUUUCGGGAUGCUGACGAGUGGCGAACGGGUGAGUAAUACAUCGGAACGUGCCUAGUAGUGGGGGAUAACUACUCGAAAGAGUGGCUAAUACCGCAUGAGAUCUAUGGAUGAAAGCAGGGGACCUUCGGGCCUUGUGCUACUAGAGCGGCCGAUGGCAGAUUAGGUAGUUGGUGAGAUAAAAGCUUACCAAGCCUACGAUCUGUAGCUGGUCUGAGAGGACGAUCAGCCACACUGGGACUGAGACACGGCCCAGACUCCUACGGGAGGCAGCAGUGGGGAAUUUUGGACAAUGGGCGCAAGCCUGAUCCAGCAAUGCCGCGUGCAGGAUGAAGGCCUUCGGUUGUAACUGCUUUUGUACGGAACGAAAAGUACUUGGGUUAAUACCCUGGGAUCAUGACGGUACCGUAAGAAUAAGCACCGGCUAACUACGUGCCAGCAGCCGCGGUAA